This 391-nucleotide ribosomal RNA is filed under the name Duttaphrynus melanostictus (Asian common toad). Its description in RNAcentral is "partial 12S ribosomal RNA". It matches the Rfam family "Bacterial small subunit ribosomal RNA", at positions 794 to 1399 of the family's 1533-position model. The record is from RNAcentral. Lineage: Eukaryota; Metazoa; Chordata; Amphibia; Anura; Bufonidae.
GGCUAGCCGUAAACUUUUAUUUACGCCCAAUCGCCAGGGAACUACGAGCUAAGCUUAAAACCCAAAGGACUUGACGGUACCCCAUAUCCCCCUAGAGGAGCCUGUCCUGUAAUCGAUAAUCCACGUUAAACCUCACCAUUUUUAGUUAAUCAGCCUGUAUACCUCCGUCGUCAGCUUACCACGUGAGCGCCAAUUAGUGAGCUUAAUGUUUUUCACCAAUACGUCAGGUCAAGGUGCAGCAAAUAAAGUGGGAAGAGAUGGGCUACACUCUCUAUUUUAGAAAAAACGAAAAACUACCUAUGAAACCUAGUUAGAAGGCGGAUUUAGCAGUAAAAAGGAAUCAGCAUGUCCAUUUUAAUCCGGCACUGGGGUGUGUACACACCGCCCGUCA